This 251-nucleotide ribosomal RNA is filed under the name uncultured prokaryote. Its description in RNAcentral is "partial 16S rRNA". It matches the Rfam family "Bacterial small subunit ribosomal RNA", at positions 525 to 775 of the family's 1533-position model. The record is from RNAcentral.
ACGUAGGGGGCAAGCGUUAUCCGGAUUUACUGGGUGUAAAGGGAGCGUAGACGGCACAGCAAGUGUGAUGUGAAAACCCGCGGCUCAACCGCGGGACUGCAUUGGAAACUGCUGGGCUGGAGUGCUGGAGGGGCAGGCGGAAUUCCUGGUGUAGCGGUGAAAUGCGUAGAUAUCAGGAGGAACACCAGUGGCGAAGGCGGCCUUCUGGACUGUAACUGACGUUGAGGCUCGAAAGCGUGGGGAGCAAACAG